ACAUACAUCCACUUUGUGCACAAAUAGAAUUUACCCUAUUAUUGUAUACCUAUUAUCUAUACCCUAUUAUUUUAUUUGUGCACAAAGUGGAUUUAUGUAA
RNAcentral lists this microRNA precursor (100 nucleotides) under Drosophila guanche. Lineage: Eukaryota; Metazoa; Arthropoda; Insecta; Diptera; Drosophilidae. The record is from RNAcentral.